AAAGGAUUUAAGUUAAUAAAACUAAUAGCCUUCAAAGCUGUAAAUAUAAAUUUAAAUUUUUUA
RNAcentral lists this transfer RNA (63 nucleotides) under Heterosmylus sp. YW-2016. Its description in RNAcentral is "tRNA-Trp". The record is from RNAcentral. Lineage: Eukaryota; Metazoa; Arthropoda; Insecta; Neuroptera; Osmylidae.